This 664-nucleotide small RNA is filed under the name Olea europaea subsp. europaea. Lineage: Eukaryota; Viridiplantae; Streptophyta; Magnoliopsida; Lamiales; Oleaceae. The record is from RNAcentral.
GAUGCAUUUUUACACAGGCGUCUUCAUUUGGGAUCUAAAAUCUAUUGCCUCAAUUUAAAUUUAUCCAAAAUUAAGUUCUAAUGGUAUUUUGAUGUCCAAAUGUCGUAAGAUAUAGAAGAUUUAUUUGUUUAUUUAUUUAUUUUUUUUACCAAAUCUCUGGAUUAGACAAAAUAACGCCUUUGUAAAAGAGUAAUUUUGUCUAGAAUAGUUUAGUCUUUGAUAUAUGCUGUUCAAGCUAAACAAUUUUCAAUAAUAAAGAAAAUCAUAUUGGUCGUCUAACUCCUCAAUUAAUUAUUUUUCUACAGGGAAUUUCUCCAAAUAUACGAUGAUAAAAUGUGGUCAAUGAGUAUCCAUUUGAAACAUACCAGAAGCCACAAAGCGCAACACAAUCAGUGCCUGCAUCAAAUAAAAAAAAAAGGCUAAUGUCAAACUACAUUGAUUUUGUAAAAACACGGGUCUGUUAAAACAGAAAGAAAGGCUUUUUAUCGUUUCAGUGGCAUGAAAGAUGGAUACAAUUACCAAAAAUAAUGAGCAUAAUUCAGGCUACAACAAUGAACUUGAACUGUGUAUAAAGCAGCUAUCAUCUCAUUUUCAUAACUAACAAUAUCCAUCAUUAUCAGGGUUUGAAUUCUUUUAAGAGCUCAACUAAAAUUUGAAAUUCAAC